GGGGCCGUAGUCUAGCUAGGUAUGACGACAUUGCGACCACAACGUUAAGGGCUCCAGAGGCGCAGAAAACAUUGAUCCGUAAGGGAGAUGAUUAAACUCUGGAGCGCGCCGAAGAAACCCGUAGGUCGAGGGUUCGAAUCCCUCCGGCCCCACCA
This 155-nucleotide transfer RNA is filed under the name Candidatus Bathyarchaeota archaeon. Its description in RNAcentral is "tRNA-OTHER". It matches the Rfam family "tRNA". Rfam says of the family: Transfer RNA (tRNA) molecules are approximately 80 nucleotides in length. Their secondary structure includes four short double-helical elements and three loops (D, anti-codon, and T loops). The record is from RNAcentral. Lineage: Archaea; Thermoproteati; Candidatus Bathyarchaeota.